This 655-nucleotide small RNA is filed under the name Histoplasma capsulatum var. duboisii H88. RNAcentral describes it as "Histoplasma capsulatum H88 hypothetical RNA". The record is from RNAcentral. Lineage: Eukaryota; Fungi; Ascomycota; Eurotiomycetes; Onygenales; Ajellomycetaceae.
CAGCUUCUGUACAACAGCCUUUCCAGGGAGCCCAGAUUUAGCCCUAGCUAGCUGUGAAAGAAUCUGCAUCUCACGCGUUCGCUCAGUUGAUUCUGCCGUGGAGAUUUUGAGGGCAACAAGUCGACUUUGACUUCUAUCCUCUGCCAGCUAGGUUGUGGCAGACCGGCCGAAUCCAAGUUUAUGAGCGAUAACAUGUCGACCCGCACAAAAUUCAUCACCAAUCAAGACAGGAUGGUAACCUCCGGGAACAUAAUAGUCCAAGCACUCAACUUCCUCCACAAACUUGUACUUGCCUCUGCUGGGUUCCAUAUGUGUUGCCAUACUUCUGCGAAGAUGUGAAAUGGAGAAUUGUGUCUGUCGGCAGGGUGGCCCAGUUACCAAUGGUCUGAUUCUGCCGUUACUUGUUCGAUUGGCCAGCGGAGUGGUGCUGGGUUCAGGUCAUUUGUAAUUAAGGCAACUGGGACAAGACGGAACAGAGCAAAGCUCGUUAGCUAGCGUAUAGGGCUACCUCAAGGGGGGAUAUAGAGAUCUCUAUUCUAUCGGCAACCAAGCGGGUCUCAAGAGGUAGGCAGCUAGCUAUUAAUCUCCAUUUGAAUAGAGAUCUGGGGGAUAACAGUAAUCGAUCGGAUAUCGAUCGGAUAUUCAGCAGGCAGGC